Molecule: ribosomal RNA, 776 nt
Filed under: uncultured Neocallimastigales
Lineage: Eukaryota; Fungi; Neocallimastigomycota; Neocallimastigomycetes; Neocallimastigales
Description: partial large subunit ribosomal RNA
Rfam family: Eukaryotic large subunit ribosomal RNA
Source: RNAcentral
GAGACUCUGUGCGCGUGCAUAUCAAUAAGCGGAGGAAAAGAAACUAACAAGGAUUCCCUUAGUAACGGCGAGUGAAGCGGGAGGAGCUCAAAUUUGAAAUCUUCAAGGUUCUACCUUGACGAAUUGUAGUUUAUAGAAGUGUUUUCUGUUAGUGGAGUGGCAAAAGUUCUUUGGAAUAGGACAUCAUAGAGGGUGAGAAUCCCGUAUUUGGUCAUUCUUUCUAGCUUUGUGAUACACUUUCAACGAGUCGGAUUGUUUGGGAAUGCAGUCCAAAAUGGGUGGUAAAUUUCAUCUAAAGCUAAAUAUUGGCGAGAGACCGAUAGCGAACAAGUACCGUGAGGGAAAGAUGAAAAGAACUUUGAAAAGAGAGUUAAACAGUACGUGAAAUUGUCAAAAGGGAAGCGUUUGACACCAGUGUUGUUUAGUUGAAAAUCAAUUCAAUAAUUUUUGAUUUUGAGUAGUAUUGACUUCAUCAGCUUGCUGCUUUCUUUUCGGAAAUUAUUGAAUGCACUUUUCAGUUAACAAGUCAACAUCAAUUUCUUUUGUUGUAAAAGGGUAAGAGGAAGGUGGCUUACGCUUCGGCGUAAGUGUUUAUAGCCUUUUACCUCUGCAAUCGGAGAGAUUGAGGACAGCAGCGUAGACUCCUUCGGGGGUUAGAUACACUUGUGCUAAGCUAUAGCCUUGUAUAGACAACUUGUUGACUAUGCUCAGUCAUGUAGCUUACUCGCUUGUGCUAUUUUACCUACGCUUAGGAUGUUGAACUCUAUCACACACAG